RNAcentral lists this long non-coding RNA (356 nucleotides) under Trifolium pratense (red clover). Its description in RNAcentral is "long non-coding RNA (TPRA_LNC009803)". The record is from RNAcentral. Lineage: Eukaryota; Viridiplantae; Streptophyta; Magnoliopsida; Fabales; Fabaceae.
AGAUAAAUAUGUGGAACAGUGGGUUUAGAACAUUCGACAAACAAAGCUUAGAAGAGAUGGAAAAAAAAAAGUAAAUUGUUUAGAGGCCUAUAGGUCUUGAAAAAAUGUGUCCCUUUUGGAGGCAUAAAGGACGCCUUAUGCUUGGCAAGGGAAGUCCUUCAAAACUUUCGAAGCCUAAAAGAAAUACACAAAACGAAGACAAUUAUGUGGUAUAAAUUCCCGAUAAAGCCAAGGUAUAGUGGAGAAAUUAAUGCCAUAUAAAAAGAAAUGACUUACUUGCACUUCAGAAUCUCUUGAAACCAACUCAGAAACAUCAAUAGAAGCCUUUGUAUAUCUUACUAACCCAUCGGUAAAAG